CACCACCACGAGUUGAAAAUCAUCAGCAUCUCCCGAUUCACCAAUUCUAGAAACCAAAAUGGAAAUUAGCGGUCUGUUUCUCCCAAAUCCUCUCUUUCUCUCCCUGGCUCUCAUUCUCUGCGAUGUGUAGGUGAAAAGAUAAGAAGGCAGGGUGGGGAAUGAACACAUAUAAAAUGAAAGACACAAUCGAAGAAAGAGGAUUGAAGAAAGAAGGCCAAACCAAAAUCCAUAUCAUUGAAAGGCCAAACCAAAAUCCAUAAUAUGAUUAGGGCUCAAGA
Molecule: long non-coding RNA, 278 nt
Filed under: Helianthus annuus (common sunflower)
Lineage: Eukaryota; Viridiplantae; Streptophyta; Magnoliopsida; Asterales; Asteraceae
Description: sRNA HanXRQr2_Chr16g0740111
Source: RNAcentral